This 254-nucleotide ribosomal RNA is filed under the name uncultured bacterium. Its description in RNAcentral is "partial 16S ribosomal RNA". It matches the Rfam family "Bacterial small subunit ribosomal RNA", at positions 524 to 776 of the family's 1533-position model. The record is from RNAcentral.
UACGUAGGGCGCGAGCGUUGUCCGGAAUUAUUGGGCGUAAAGAGCUCGUAGGCGGUGUGUCACGUCGGCCGUGAAAACCUGCAGCUUAACUGUGGGCGUGCGGUCGAUACGGGCAUCACUGGAGUUCGGUAGGGGAGACUGGAAUUCCUGGUGUAGCGGUGGAAUGCGCAGAUAUCAGGAGGAACACCCAUAGCGAAGGCAGCUCGCUGGGACGGUACUGACGCUAAGGCGCGAAAGCGUGGGGAGCGAACAGG